AGAGUUUGAUCAUGGCUCAGAAUGAACGCUGGCGGCGCGCCUAAUACAUGCAAGUCGAGCGAGAAGACGUAGCAAUACGUUUGUAAAGCGGCGAACGGGUGAGGAAUACAUGGGUAACCUACCCUCGAGUGGGGAAUAACUAGCCGAAAGGUUAGCUAAUACCGCGUACGCUCCUUGGACUUCGGUUCAGGGAGGAAAGCGAUACCGUGGGUAUCGCGCUCUUGGUUGGGCUCAUGUCCUAUCAGCUUGUUGGUGAGGUAACGGCUCACCAAGGCUUCGACGGGUAGCUGGUCUGAGAGGACGAUCAGCCACACUGGCACUGCGACACGGGCCAGACUCCUACGGGAGGCAGCAGUAAGGAAUAUUGCGCAAUGGGCGAAAGCCUGACGCAGCGACGCCGCGUGGGGGAUGAAGGUCUUCGGAUUGUAAACCCCUUUCGGGAGGGAAGAUGGAACGAGCAAUCGUUCGGACGGUACCUCCAGAAGC
RNAcentral lists this ribosomal RNA (486 nucleotides) under uncultured Nitrospira sp. RNAcentral's name for it is "bacterial SSU rRNA". It matches the Rfam family "Bacterial small subunit ribosomal RNA", at positions 8 to 488 of the family's 1533-position model. The record is from RNAcentral. Lineage: Bacteria; Pseudomonadati; Nitrospirota; Nitrospiria; Nitrospirales; Nitrospiraceae.